AGUCGAGGGGCAGCGGGGCGGCAGGCUUGCCUGCCGUUGCCGGCGACCGGCGCACGGGUGAGUAACACGUAUGCAACCUGCCCGUGGCAGGGGGAUAAGCGGGGGAAACCCCGUCUAAUACCGCGUAACGCGGCCUAGGGACAUCCCAAGGCCGCCAAAGGGAGCAAUCCCGGCCACGGAUGGGCAUGCGGCGCAUUAGCUAGUCGGCGGGGUAACGGCCCACCGAGGCGACGAUGCGUAGGGGUUCUGAGAGGAAGGCCCCCCACACUGGUACUGAGACACGGACCAGACUCCUACGGGAGGCAGCAGUGAGGAAUAUUGGUCAAUGGGCGCGAGCCUGAACCAGCCAAGUCGCGUGAGGGAGGACGGCCCUACGGGUUGUAAACCUCUUUUGCCGGGGAGCAACGGGCGUCACGUGUGGCGCCACUGAGAGUACCCGGAGAAAAAGCAUCGGCUAACUCCGUGCCAGCAGCCGCGGUAAUACGGAGGAUGCGAGCGUUAUCCGGAUUUAUUGGGUUUAAAGGGUGCGUAGGCGGAUCGUUAAGUCAGUGGUCAAAUUGAGGGGCUCAACCCCUUCCCGCCAUUGAAACUGGCGUUCUUGAGUGGAAGAGAAGUAUGCGGAAUGCGUGGUGUAGCGGUGAAAUGCAUAGAUAUCACGCAGAACUCCGAUUGCGAAGGCAGCAUACCGGCGCCCUACUGACGCUGAGGCACGAAAGCGUGGGUAUCGAACAGGAUUAGAUACCCUGGUAGUCCACGCAGUAAACGAUGAAUGCUAACUGUCCGGCGCGAAUGAGCGCUGGGCGGUACAGCGAAAGCGUUAAGCAUUC
This 827-nucleotide ribosomal RNA is filed under the name uncultured bacterium. RNAcentral describes it as "bacterial SSU rRNA". It matches the Rfam family "Bacterial small subunit ribosomal RNA", at positions 60 to 869 of the family's 1533-position model. The record is from RNAcentral.